Molecule: ribosomal RNA, 497 nt
Filed under: uncultured bacterium
Lineage: Bacteria
Description: partial 16S ribosomal RNA
Rfam family: Bacterial small subunit ribosomal RNA
Source: RNAcentral
GAUGAACGCUGGCGGCGUGCCUAAUACAUGCAAGUCGAGCGAACAGACGAGGAUCUUGCUCCUCUGACGCUAGCGGCGGACGGGUGAGUAACACAUUGAUAACCUAUCUAUUAUACUGUGAUAACUUCGGGAAACCGGAGCUAAUACCUGAUAAUAUAUUCAACCUCAUGGUUCAAUAGUGGAAUACGGUUUUGCUGUCACUUAUAGAUGUAUUCGGGCCGUAUUAGAUAGUUGGUAAGGUAACGGCUUACCAAGGCAACGAUGGGUAGCCGACCUGAGAGGGUGAUAGGCCGCACUGGAGGUGGGACGGGGUCAAGACUCCUGCGGGAGGGAGCAGAAGGGAAUGGUAGGCAGUGGGGGAGAGCAUGACGGAGCAACGCGAAGUGAGAGGUGAAGGUGUUCGGAUCGUGAUACUCUGUUAUUAGGGAAGAACAAAUGUGUAAGUAAAUAUAGAGGUAUUGACGGUAACGAGUAAGAAAGCAACGGCUAACUACGUG